GACGAACGCUGGCGGCGUGCUUAACACAUGCAAGUCGAACGGUGAAGCGCCUUCCUUUUUGGUGGGUGUGGAUGAGUGGCGAACGGGUGAGUAACACGUGAGUAACCUGCCCCCUUCUUCUGGAUAACCGCAUGAAAGUGUGGCUAAUACGGGAUAUUCUGGGUCUGUCGCAUGAUGGGUCUGGGAAAGAUAUUGUUUCGGUGGGGGAUGGGCUCGCGGCCUAUCAGCUUGUUGGUGGGGUGAUGGCCUACCAAGGCGGUGACGGGUAGCCGACCUGAGAGGGUGGACGGUCACACUGGGACUGAGACACGGCCCAGACUCCUACGGGAGGCAGCAGUGGGGAAUAUUGCACAAUGGGCGCAAGCCUGAUGCAGCGACGCCGCGUGGGGGAUGGAGGCCUUCGGGUUGUGAACCUCUUUCGCCAGUGAAGCAGGCCUGCCUCGUUUGUGGGUGGGUUGACGGUAGCUGGAUAAGAAGCGCCGGCUAACUACGUG
Molecule: ribosomal RNA, 494 nt
Filed under: uncultured bacterium
Lineage: Bacteria
Description: partial 16S ribosomal RNA
Rfam family: Bacterial small subunit ribosomal RNA
Source: RNAcentral